CCUACGGGAGGCAGCAGUGGGGAAUCUUGGACAAUGGGCGCAAGCCUGAUCCAGCCAUGCCGCGUGAGUGAUGAAGGCCCUAGGGUCGUAAAGCUCUUUCGCCAGGGAUGAUAAUGACAGUACCUGGUAAAGAAACCCCGGCUAACUCCGUGCCAGCAGCCGCGGUAAUACGGAGGGGGUUAGCGUUGUUCGGAAUUACUGGGCGUAAAGCGCACGUAGGCGGAUCGGAAAGUUGGGGGUGAAAUCCCGGGGCUCAACCCCGGAACUGCCUCCAAAACUAUCGGUCUAGAGUUCGAGAGAGGUGAGUGGAAUUCCGAGUGUAGAGGUGAAAUUCGUAGAUAUUCGGAGGAACACCAGUGGCGAAGGCGGCUCACUGGCUCGAUACUGACGCUGAGGUGCGAAAGUGUGGGGAGCAAACAGGAUUAGAUACCCUGGUAGUCCACACCGUAAACGAUGAAUGCCAGUCGUCGGGUAGCAUGCUAUUCGGUGACACACCUAACGGAUUAAGCAUUCCGCCUGGGGAGUACGGUCGCAAGAUUAAAACUCAAAGGAAUUGACGGGGUAAUCCGCA
RNAcentral lists this ribosomal RNA (571 nucleotides) under uncultured bacterium. RNAcentral's name for it is "bacterial SSU rRNA". It matches the Rfam family "Bacterial small subunit ribosomal RNA", at positions 338 to 927 of the family's 1533-position model. The record is from RNAcentral.